Dipodomys ordii (Ord's kangaroo rat) is the source of this 127-nucleotide small nucleolar RNA. NCBI's taxonomy places the organism in Eukaryota, Metazoa, Chordata, Mammalia, Rodentia, Heteromyidae. The record is from Ensembl.
GCACGGGUUGGAUUUAUGGCAGGCCUGUCCCUCUGGGCCUUUCAUACUGUCCUAUGCCAGAGCAAACUGUGGUUCUGAACCAUUGCCUGGCCUAUGGGCUACUGGCACUGAAGGGGGUUGCACAGAG